Alexandromys fortis (reed vole) is the source of this 724-nucleotide long non-coding RNA. RefSeq lists it as uncharacterized. The transcript is spliced from 5 exons. The record is from RefSeq and is a predicted model, not a curated record. NCBI's taxonomy places the organism in Eukaryota, Metazoa, Chordata, Mammalia, Rodentia, Cricetidae.
GCAGCUAGUGGCCUGCCAAUCACAGGACGUCAUGCCCCGGUUUGCAGUGCCCAGAAUCUCCUCCAGGUUCGGCUUUGACAUCCUCCUGCAGAGGGCUUACUCCAGUCUCAGGACUUUCAGGUGAAUCAGAAGAAAAGAUGUAAUUCACGCCGGCAAAUGGUUUAGAGAUCCAGAAGAAGAAAUAAAUGGAAAUACGUCAUACCGCGACCACCAAGACCCAGGAGCAGAAGAACUAAGAAAACUAAGAAUUAAGGACAGAUGAAGGAAGAUGCAGUGAAUUUGAGCCCGAUGAUCAAUUGUGCAAACUGCACACAAGACAACACAUACAAACAUGAUGCAACCGAAGCAAGGAGCAUUUAGUAAGACGCAAUUGGCAGGACCUUCACUAGGUGCCGGUUGGCAAACAUGAAGACGGCUGGAAUGAGAGCUGAGUGACCAGGUGGGUGCUGAAUGAAACCCUGGGUUUGUCAAGGAGUUGAUUGGAGGGAACUAACAUGAAAGGACCCUGGAAAUCAUGAAGAACGGCAUCCUAUGAGGAAGAUUAUUUAUUCAAUCAUUAGUCCUGGAAACAUUGCUGAGCGUGGGCUGUACUGUUGACACCAAGUCAGGCACUGAAGGGUAACAAGCCUCCUUUCAACUCUGGCUUGCUGGCAGUCCCAGCCUUAUAAGUCUCAUCAGUGACCCCUGACAUGAGGCUAUAAUACCAGCUAUUGCCUUCCAUUGG